Molecule: long non-coding RNA, 693 nt
Filed under: Equus asinus (donkey)
Lineage: Eukaryota; Metazoa; Chordata; Mammalia; Perissodactyla; Equidae
Description: lncRNA (ENSEASG00005035239.1)
Source: RNAcentral
CCAGUUUCAAUUCCGGUCGUUUCACCGUCUUGUUUUUCUCCACAAACGCCCUUCUGCUGUGCUUGUGAGCAUUCUAGCACCGUCCAAGAUGCCUCACUAUUUCUGUAAAUGUUUCCUUGCUAACAGAUAAGGGCGUUUUCCUUUUACAUCCUACAAUGUCGUUGAAACACUAACAAAGUGAACAGAAGCCUGUCCAUCCGCUAAUGCCCGGCUGCAUCCGAACCCCUCCCGGUGUCAGAGGGUCCUUUCACGGGGGCUGGCUCCAGUCCCACCCGAGUAGAGUCCGAAUGCCUGGGCUCCAUCACCUUGUCCUGACCACGUCCGCGUUGAGGAAUGAUGAGACAGUGGCCGGGGACGGCCUUCCGGGAUGUGACUCGCUGGCAGAGUGGGCAGAAGAGGUCACCGAGGACGGAAGCUCAAGGAAGAGGCCUGACAGGGUGCCCCGCCCCAGCUGCCUCGGUUGGACCAGCAGGCCCUGAAGAGUCACCCACAGUUGUGGGGUCUCCUGGGAGCAGGACAUGCAGGUGCUGGCCCAGCCUGGUGGUGCAUUCCAUCCUGCCCAUACCAGCCCAGAGCUAACUGGGGGCAGUCCUGCCUCCGUCUGGGUGAGAAGGCAGGCAGUCCCCUGAGCCUGACGAUGUCACGAAAGAAGCUCACAUUCCCAACUUCUUUUCUUAAGGAAACUUAGUUUUG